GAUGAACGCUAGCGGCAGGCCUAAUACAUGCAAGUCGAGGGGCAUCACAGGUAGCAAUACUGGGUGGCGACCGGCAAACGGGUGCGGAACACGUACGUAACCUUCCUUUAAGUGGGAGAUAGCCCGAAGAAAUUCGGAUUAAUAUCCCAUAAGAUUGUGGAGUGGCAUCACUCAGCAAUUAAAGAAUUUCGCUUAAAGAU
This 200-nucleotide ribosomal RNA is filed under the name uncultured bacterium. Its description in RNAcentral is "partial 16S ribosomal RNA". It matches the Rfam family "Bacterial small subunit ribosomal RNA", at positions 28 to 226 of the family's 1533-position model. The record is from RNAcentral.